GAUGAAGAACGCAGUGAAAUGCGAUAAGUAAUGUGAAUUGCAGAAUUCAGUGAAUCAUCGAAUCUUUGAACACACAUUGCGCCCGCCAGUAUUCUGGCGGGCAUGCCUGUUCGAGCGUCAUUUCAACCAUCAAGCCCCCGGCUUGUGUUGGGGACCUGCGGCUGCCGCAGGCCCUGAAAAGCAGUGGCGGGCUCGCUGUCACACCGAGCGUAGUAGCAUACAUCUCGCUCUGGGCGUGCUGCGGGUUCCGGCCGUUAAACCACCUUCAUAACCCAAGGUUGACCUCGGAUCAGGUAGGAAGACCCGUUGAACUUAAGCAUAUCAAUAAGCGGAGGA
RNAcentral lists this unclassified non-coding RNA (336 nucleotides) under soil metagenome. RNAcentral's name for it is "partial contains 5.8S ribosomal RNA, internal transcribed spacer 2, and large subunit ribosomal RNA". The stretch from base 1 to 120 matches the Rfam family "5.8S ribosomal RNA", at positions 35 to 154 of the family's 154-position model. The record is from RNAcentral.